This 497-nucleotide ribosomal RNA is filed under the name uncultured bacterium. RNAcentral's name for it is "partial 16S ribosomal RNA". It matches the Rfam family "Bacterial small subunit ribosomal RNA", at positions 28 to 507 of the family's 1533-position model. The record is from RNAcentral.
GACGAACGCUGGCGGCGUGCCUAAUACAUGCAAGUUGAGCGCUGAAGGUUGGUACUUGUACCAACUGGAUGAGCAGCGAACGGGUGAGUAACGCGUGGGUAAUCUGCCUUUGAGCGGGGGACAACAUUUGGAAACGAAUGCUAAUACCGCAUAAAAACUUUAAACACAAGAUUCAAGUUUGAAAGAUGCAAUUGCAUCACUCAAAGAUGAUCCCGCGUUGUAUUAGCUAGUUGGUGAGGUAAAGGCUCACCAAGGCGAUGAUACAUAGCCGACCUGAGAGGGUGAUCGGCCACAUUGGGACUGAGACACGGCCCAAACUCCUACGGGAGGCAGCAGUAGGGAAUCUUCGGCAAUGGACGAAAGUCUGACCGAGCAACGCCGCGUGAGUGAAGAAGGUUUUCGGAUCGUAAAACUCUGUUGGUAGAGAAGAACGUUGGUGAGAGUGGAAAGCUCAUCAAGUGACGGUAACUACCCAGAAAGGGACGGCUAACUACGUG